CUAGUCCAAGGAAGGAAACCCACUAAAAAAAUGGAGUUAAGUACUUUCCUUCAAAAGAAGCAGCAUAUCAAUAAGCUACCUUCGAGCUUCGAGAUUGUCGGCAAAAUUAUAGAUAGUCGGGUAUAAACACAGCUGUUCCUAUCAAAUCGGAGAGGGGUUAUCCAAGCAGUAGAGGAGAUCAACAAGAUGCUGAAAUUUCGGAUCCCGAUCUUAGCAAUUAGGGGUUUAAUUUCCUUGUUCUUCACGCACUUGGAGUAUAUAAAUAUACUUCCCCUGCUCAGUUUCGGAGGAGGAUAUACACAAAAACCUAGCCGAAAAUCACACAAAGAACAAGGGAAUUUGAGUGAGUCCUAAUUGGGCAAUUAACGAAGAGAAGAUAGCCAUUGGAGGGAAGCUUAGUCUCAAUUCCAAGGUUGAACAAGGUCGACGGUGAAUAGCAGGGUCGAAGCCGAGGUUCUUUCGGAUGUUCUUGAGUAUCUCUAUUAUAUAAGCCAGCUCCUGAGGUUAAUUUAGUAACUUAACUUUUCGUGUCCGCCAUAAAAAUGACUAAAAUGCCCCUUCCUAUUACUCACAAGUCACAACCCCAUCGCGUAAAACGUAAUCUCUUACCUAAAUCUCACUUCCUCCGCUACUUCUUUCUCCCGUACUUUCUCUCUCCUCAGUUCUCAAAUCUUCAGUUCUCAAAUCUUCUCAUCGCCGCUUCACUCUUCGCCGCAUCACUUCACUCAAAGAUCUCAUAUGUUCAGUUCGAUCGAUCCUUCUGCUUUUCUCAAGUUUUGUGUGUCGGUGUUUUGCUGGAAGCACAUUCAAGGGUAUUGUCUAUGUCACUAACAGCUACGCCGUCCCAGAGUAUUGACCGCUAAUAAUCCAAAGCGAGCCUUGCCUUCUUGGAUGAGUGCAAGAGACGGUGGAAACGGCAUUAAACAAGGUAAUGAUAGAAUGGAUGAUGACAGUCAAGUGGACAGUUUGUAGAAUAAAGUGAGAGGGCGAGGCAAGGGAGUGAAAGAUACAGAUAAUGGUGAAGAGAAUUACUCUAUAGCUGGUCCAAAUAAAUCGGAGUUCUCCAAUCUUUUGCACCGCCAGUGCAUACUAGAAAACUGUACUGAAGAUAUGAACUCACUCUCCAACUCGCUCCCUCGCUCCCUCUCUGCUGCUCCUGCUUCUUCCAGGAUUUGGGUACGAAGGAAUUGAAGUGGCUUGGAAACAAACUAUUUUAAAUGUUUAGUUACUUUGGUACUAAGAUCUCGAUUUUAAUCAUGUAGGCGCAUGAAUAAAUUGUAUUACUAUUUAGAUUUGUAAAAAUAGGCAUGAUUACUUUUUCUUUAGAUGAACUUUGCUAACGUUUUUUCUUGCCUACUACAUAUUUGUGAUGAUUAGUUGUAAUACUACAGUUUUAUAUAAUCUCGCACGCAUCGCGUGCAUAUAAGACUAGUACUUAAUAAGUCUUCU
This is a long non-coding RNA of Spinacia oleracea (spinach), 1449 nucleotides long. RefSeq lists it as uncharacterized. The transcript is spliced from 5 exons. The record is from RefSeq and is a predicted model, not a curated record. Lineage: Eukaryota; Viridiplantae; Streptophyta; Magnoliopsida; Caryophyllales; Amaranthaceae.